GGCGAACGGGUGAGUAACGCGUUGGUAACCUACCUUCAAGUGGAGGAUAAUCCCGGGAAACUGGGACUAAUACUGCAUGUGGUGAUGGAGCGCAUGCUUUGUCACUAAAGCCGCAAGGCGCUUGAAGAGGGGCCUGCGUCCGAUUAGCUAGUUGGUGGGGUAAUAGCCUACCAAGGCGACGAUCGGUAGCUGGUUUGAGAGGAUGACCAGCCACACGGGGACUGAGACACGGCCCCGACUCCUACGGGAGGCAGCAGCAAGGAAUCUUGCGCAAUGGGCGAAAGCCUGACGCAGCGACGCCGCGUGAGGGAAGAAGGACUUCGGUUCGUAAACCUCUUUUCUCAGGGAAGAAUAAUGACGGUACCUGAGGAAUAAGUCACGGCUAACUACGUGCCAGCAGCCGCGGUAAUACGUAGGUGGCUAGCGUUAUCCGGAUUUAUUGGGCGUAAAGGGGGUGUAGGCGGCUUUUCAAGUCGGAUGUGAAAUCUCCCGGCUCAACCGGGAGGGGUCAUUCGAUACUGUUAGGCUUGAGGGCAGCAGAGGGAGAUGGAAUUCCCGGUGUAGUGGUGAAAUGCGUAGAUAUCGGGAGGAA
This 592-nucleotide ribosomal RNA is filed under the name uncultured bacterium. Its description in RNAcentral is "bacterial SSU rRNA". It matches the Rfam family "Bacterial small subunit ribosomal RNA", at positions 97 to 706 of the family's 1533-position model. The record is from RNAcentral.